GGGGAUAUAGCUCAGUUGGUAGAGUGCUUGCCUUGCAUGCACAAGGCCCUGGGUUCAAUCCUCAGCAUUGUCA
This 73-nucleotide transfer RNA is filed under the name Ictidomys tridecemlineatus (thirteen-lined ground squirrel). RNAcentral's name for it is "Spermophilus tridecemlineatus (thirteen-lined ground squirrel) tRNA". It matches the Rfam family "tRNA". From Rfam's summary of the family: Transfer RNA (tRNA) molecules are approximately 80 nucleotides in length. Their secondary structure includes four short double-helical elements and three loops (D, anti-codon, and T loops). Further hydrogen bonds mediate the characteristic L-shaped molecular structure. tRNAs have two regions of fundamental functional importance: the anti-codon, which is responsible for specific mRNA codon recognition, and the 3' end, to which the tRNAs corresponding amino acid is attached (by aminoacyl-tRNA synthetases). tRNAs cope with the degeneracy of the genetic code in two manners: having more than one tRNA (with a specific anti-codon) for a particular amino acid; and 'wobble' base-pairing, i.e. permitting non-standard base-pairing at the 3rd anti-codon position. Lineage: Eukaryota; Metazoa; Chordata; Mammalia; Rodentia; Sciuridae. The record is from Rfam by way of RNAcentral.